This 349-nucleotide ribosomal RNA is filed under the name uncultured Veillonellaceae bacterium. RNAcentral's name for it is "bacterial SSU rRNA". It matches the Rfam family "Bacterial small subunit ribosomal RNA", at positions 9 to 339 of the family's 1533-position model. The record is from RNAcentral. Lineage: Bacteria; Bacillati; Bacillota; Negativicutes; Veillonellales; Veillonellaceae.
AGUAGUUUGAUCAGUGGCUCGAGGACGAACGCUGGCGGCGUGCCUAACACAUGCAAGUCGAACGGGGAUUUUGUUUCGGCAGAAUCCUAGUGGCGAACGGGUGAGUAACGCGUAGGCAACCUGCCCUCCGGCCGGGGACAACACUCCGAAAGGGGUGCUAAUACCGGAUACGAAGUCUGUGCCGCAUGGUACGGAUUUGAAAGAUGGCCUCUAUUUAUAAGCUAUCGCCGGGGGAUGGGCCUGCGUCCGAUUAGCUGGUUGGUGGGGUAACGGCCUACCAAGGCGACGAUCGGUAGCCGGUCUGAGAGGAUGAACGGCCACAUUGGGACUGAGACACGGCCCAGACUCC